RNAcentral lists this ribosomal RNA (468 nucleotides) under uncultured bacterium. RNAcentral's name for it is "partial 16S ribosomal RNA". It matches the Rfam family "Bacterial small subunit ribosomal RNA", at positions 28 to 507 of the family's 1533-position model. The record is from RNAcentral.
GACGAACGCUGGCGGCGUGCUUAACACAUGCAAGUCGAACGGAAAGGCCCUGCUUUUGUGGGGUGCUCGAGUGGCGAACGGGUGAGUAACACGUGAGUAACCUGCCCUUGACUUUGGGAUAACUUCAGGAAACUGGGGCUAAUACCGGAUAGGAGCUCCUGCUGCAUGGUGGGGGUUGGAAAGUUUCGGCGGUUGGGGAUGGACUCGCGGCUUAUCAGCUUGUUGGUGGGGUAGUGGCUUACCAAGGCUUUGACGGGUAGCCGGCCUGAGAGGGUGACCGGCCACGUUGGGACUGAGAUACGGCCCAGACUCCUACGGGAGGCAGCAGUGGGGAAUAUUGCACAAUGGGCGGAAGCCUGAUGCAGCAACGCCGCGUGCGGGAUGACGGCCUUCGGGUUGUAAACCGCUUUCGCCUGUGGCGAAGCGUGAGUGACGGUAAUGGGUAAAGAAGCACCGGCUAACUACGUG